CGGGGUGGAGUAAUGUCUGGGAAACGUCUCGAUGGAGGGGGAGGAAUGCUGGAAACGGUAGCUAAUACCGCAUAACGUCGCAAGACCAAAGAGGGGGACCUUCGGGCCUCUUGCCAUCGGAUGUGCCCAGAUGGGAUUAGCUAGUAGGUGGGGUAACGGCUCACCUAGGCGACGAUCCCUAGCUGGUCUGAGAGGAUGACCAGCCACACUGGAACUGAGACACGGUCCAG
RNAcentral lists this ribosomal RNA (230 nucleotides) under uncultured bacterium. RNAcentral's name for it is "partial 16S ribosomal RNA". It matches the Rfam family "Bacterial small subunit ribosomal RNA", at positions 104 to 334 of the family's 1533-position model. The record is from RNAcentral.